This 478-nucleotide ribosomal RNA is filed under the name uncultured bacterium. RNAcentral's name for it is "partial 16S ribosomal RNA". It matches the Rfam family "Bacterial small subunit ribosomal RNA", at positions 28 to 507 of the family's 1533-position model. The record is from RNAcentral.
GAUGAACGCUGGCGGCGUGCUUAACACAUGCAAGUCGAACGGGAAACCUUUUAUUGCGGCUUCGGCAGGUUUAGCUGGUUUCUAGUGGCGGACGGGGGAGUAACGCGUGGGUAACCUGCCUUAUACAGGGGGAUAACAACCAGAAAUGGUUGCUAAUACCGCAUAAGCGCACAGGACCGCAUGGUCCGGUGUGAAGAACUCCGGUGGUAUAAGAUGGACCCGCGUUGGAUUAGCUAGUUGGCAGGGGAACGGCCUACCAAGGCGACGAUCCAUAGCCGGGCUGAGAGGGUGAACGGACACAUUGGGACUGAGACACGGCCGGGACUCCUACGGGAUGCAGGAGUGGGGAAUAUUGCACAAUGGGGGAAACCCUGAUGCAGCGACGCCGCGUGAAGGAAGAAGUAUCUCGGUAUGUAAACUUCUAUCAGCAGGGAAGAUAGUGACGGUACCGGAAGAAGAAGCCCCGGCUAACUACGUG